Molecule: unclassified non-coding RNA, 2102 nt
Filed under: Leishmania donovani
Lineage: Eukaryota; Euglenozoa; Kinetoplastea; Trypanosomatida; Trypanosomatidae
Description: gene:LdHU3.31.5190(CDS-product:hypothetical_prote in_conserved)
Source: RNAcentral
CAGCAUACUCCACCACGCAAACGCGGCUCACCUGUAUCAACAGCGUCAUUCCUUCAGGUGCGCCACGCACACACAAGCGCCGUCUUCUUCUCAUAACCAUUCGCGGAGACGAUAUAUCAGCAGAGAUCUCGGGCCCACCCCGCACCCUCAAACACAUCCCCCUACACUCCCCUGCCCCGAUGCCGCCAGCAUCGAACACGCCUGCGCGCGAGAAGGAGCAUCUGCACCGCAUGUUCUCCGCUGCCGCGAACGCCCUCGCCGACCUCUACCGUGAGUCAUCCAACUCCUACGAGGCAGGCUACCGCGACGCGCUCCUCUUUGUGCAGCGCUACCUGCAGAGCAGCUCGCCCGUCACAGAGCGCGGGCUCCCCCCAUCCUCGGCCUUCUCCAUCUGCGAGACCGUCAACGCGCAGCACAUGGCGCAGUUUUUGCAGCACACAAUUGCGACUCGCCGUGAGCGCAUGGCAGCGGUGCGUGGCAUCCACUCGUUGCGCCGGCGCAGACGCGAGAGUGAGCAAGGGAACAGCGGAAUCGAUGACUCUGGUAUCGCGCGCGACGACGGAGAUGCCAGGGAGAACGACGAAGAUGACGAUGGAGAGGAACCGUGCUUGACACCGCGGUCAUCUCCGGUGGUGGCCAUUGAGCCGCCGGCGGAUUUGACAGCUCUCGCAGCAUCCGGAGUUGUGAGCACGGCCACGCCUCGCUUUUCUCCUGGCGCUCUCGUUACGGUGAAUAGCACGUCGCCUGCUUUGAGUCGCGAGAUGGAGCACGUAAUACAUACAGAGCAUCCAGUGUCUGGGCGGUUGCCGUACCAGCCGCGCCGCCAGCGCCCCCGCAUGGAGCGCAUGCACGGCCAUGGCUCUCUGGGCUCCGCGGAUGGGCGUCCCCUGCCCACCCAGCUCCGCAUCGGAAGGAGAAGCUGAGUGAAGGGAGAUGAUACUUGGUGCAGGUAUAUUGGCUACCGAGCAGGCUGCCUGGCAGCCUUCUGCUUCUCCUGCGGCACGCAGCGGCGUUUUGUUUGUUGUCUGCGACUUCACAGUGCACAGCGUUGAUUCAUCGCACACCCUUUCUCUCUCUCUUGUGAGUGCUGCCCUACCCUCUUCGCCUCCCAGGUCCGUGGUGCUGUGAAGGGGGGCGGGCGCUCUCGCUCGCUCGGGGAUGGAAAUUGUUCGGGUGACGUACCGCGUAUAUGUCUUUUCACAGUGGUGCCGUUGAUUUCUCAUCUGCUGCUGCUCUCAGCAUCUCUUUCUCUCCCUCGCAUCACCGCGGGUACGGCCGUGCGUGCCUGCCUGUGUCGAUGCCUCUUUCAAGGAUGGUGUGCUUGUCGCUGCCUUUGUGUACGAAAACUCAUUAACGUACGUGCACCGGGCCCGCCUCUCUGCCACAGAUCACGAGGCCAGCUCCACUCCACCCUAACGCCUCCCCCGCGCAGCCCUGUCACACGCUCCCCACCGCAUGAUGCGAAGCCGCCGUAGACACACGCGUUGCAGCGCAGUGUGCCAACGCAGUCGUCUGAGAGCAUGGCCUCUGCCUCAAACACCACCCACCCACCCCCGCUCCGCAGGCCGCCACCUGGUGCAUCCCCCUCGGGGGCGGCUCAGGCUCCCCGCCUCUGUAGGUGGUGAGGGCCGGGUGAGAUGUGCUCGAGUCACAUUGGCGCCUUGCCCAUCAUAUGUAUGGUGCAAGCGUGUGCACUGUCGCAGGUCUCUCCGGCGGCGCGCCAUCCACAGCAUGGCCGCCGACAUCCGUAGCGAUACAUCGCUCUGACCUCCUCCCCCACGUCGCAGGUGUUUAGCCCUGUCGCCAGCGGAGGCGGCUCGGCAUUGGCAGAGGGAUAGUGGAGUGUGGGGGAGGGGGGUGCACUGGACCCUGCAAUACCGCGCGCUGAGCUGUGUGUGCCCCCUCCCUUCCCCCCUCUCACCCCAUCGGUGAGUGAUAGGACGCGGAUGUUUAAAGCGUGGAAAAAUGAUUGCUCGUCUUUACCACUCCAUCUCCCUCCAUGCGCUGCGCUCUCUCCUCCUUCUGGUGCGUCACCUGCUCGCCUUGGCUUUCAACAUCGCCAUGCGGGCGUAUCUUCUCUGUGAACACGAUGACACUGGCAG